GAUAUGAUCCAGAGUACCACGGGACACGUGAAACCCUGUGGGAAGCAGGAGGGACCACCCUCCAAGGCUAAAUACUACCUAGUGACCGAUAGCGUAUAGUACCGUGAGGGAAAGGUGAAAAGAACCCCGGGAGGGGAGUGAAAUAGAACCUGAAACCCUGCACUUACAAGCUGUGGAAGCACAUUUCUUGUGUGACCGCGUACUUUUUGUAGAACGGGCCAACGAGUUACGUUAAGUAGCAAGGUUAAGCACUUAAGGUGCGGAGCCGUAGCGAAAGCGAGUUUUAACUGAGCGUUCAGUUACUUGACGUAGACCCGAAACCGGGCGACCUACCCAUGAGCAGGAUGAAGCGAAAGUAAAAUUUCGUGGAGGUCCGAACCCACGAGCGUUGAAAAGCUCGGGGAUGACUUGUGGGUAGCGGUGAAAUUCCAAUCGAGCCCGGAGAUAGCUGGUUCUCCCCGAAAUAGCUUUAGGGCUAGCCUCAAGGUGAGAGAUACGGAGGUAGAGCACUGAAUGUCCUAGGGGGUAUUGCACCUACCGAAGACUAUCAAACUCCGAAUGCCGUCAUCUUAUACUUGGGAGUCAGACUGUGGGUGAUAAGAUUCAUAGUCGAAAGGGCAACAGCCCAGAUCGUCAGCUAAGGUCCCUAAAUGUAAGUUAAGUGGUAAAGGAUGUGGGAUUGCACAGACAACCAGGAUGUUGGCUUAGAAGCAGCCACUCAUUCAAAGAGUGCGUAAUAGCUCACUGGUCGAGUGAUCCUGCGCCGAAGAUUUCCGGGGCUAAAACUUACUACCGAAGCUACGGCAUCAGUAAUGAUGGGUAGGGGAGCUUCCCAUACGGGUUGAAGCAUGACCGUAAGGACAUGUGGACAGUAUGGGAGUGAGAAUGUUGGCAUGAGUAGCGAGAUGUGGGUGAGAAUCCCACAGGCCGUAAACCCAAGGUUUCCAGGGGAAGGUUCGUCCGCCCUGGGUUAGUCGGGACCUAAGCUGAGGCCGAAAGGCGUAGGUGAUGGACAACAGGUUGAUAUUCCUGUACUACCGAUAACCGUUUGAGAGAAGGGAUGACACAGUAGGAUAAGCUAAGCACACUGUUGGUUAUGUGUGCCCAAGCAUUGAGGCAGUCAAAGUAGGCAAAUCCGCUUUGAUAAUGCUGGGAUGUGAUGGGGAGCGAAAUUUAGUAGCGAAGUAGCUGAUUUCACACUGUCAAGAAAAGUCUCUAUCGAGGUUAAAGGUACCCGUACCGCAAACCGACACAGGUGGGUGAGGAGAGUAUCCUAAGGCCAGCGAGAGAACUGUUGUUAAGGAACUCGGCAAAAUGACCCCGUAACUUAGGGAUAAGGGGUGCCACCAUCAGGUGGCCGCAGAGAAUAGGCCCAAGCGACUGUUUACCAAAAACAUAGGUUUCUGCUAAGUCGCAAGACGAUGUAUAGGAGCUGACGCCUGCCCGGUGCUGGAAGGUUAAGGGGAUCUGUUAGAGCAAUCGAAGCAGUGAACUUAAGCCCCAGUAAACGGCGGCCGUAACUAUAACGGUCCUAAGGUAGCGAAAUUCCUUGUCGGGUAAGUUCCGACCCGCACGAAAGGCGUAACGAUUUGGGCACUGUCUCAACAACAGACUCGGUGAAAUUGUAAUUCCGGUGAAGAUGCCGGAUACCUGCGACAGGACGGAAAGACCCCAUGGAGCUUUACUGUAGCUUGACAUUGGGUCUUGGUACUACAUGUACAGGAUAGGUGGGAGGCUUUGAAACCAGGACGCCAGUUUUGGCGGAGCCAUCCUUGGGAUACCACCCUUGUAGUACUGGGACUCUAACCAUAGGCCAUGAAUCUGGUCUUGGGACACUGUCAGGUGGGCAGUUUGACUGGGGCGGUCGCCUCCCAAAAGGUAACGGAGGCGCUCAAAGGUUCUCUCAGUACGGUCGGAAAUCGUACGUAGAGUGUAAAGGCAAAAGAGAGCUUGAUUGCAAGACAUACAGGUCGAGCAAGGAUGAA
Molecule: ribosomal RNA, 1985 nt
Filed under: Clostridioides difficile
Lineage: Bacteria; Bacillati; Bacillota; Clostridia; Peptostreptococcales; Peptostreptococcaceae
Description: bacterial LSU rRNA
Rfam family: Bacterial large subunit ribosomal RNA
Source: RNAcentral